ACACAUGCAAGUCGAACGAUGAAGCCCUUCGGGGUGGAUUAGUGGCGAACGGGUGAGUAACACGUGGGCAAUCUGCCCUUCACUCUGGGACAAGCCCUGGAAACGGGGUCUAAUACCGGAUAAUACCUGCCUGGGCAUCUGGGUGGGUUAAAAGCUCCGGCGGUGAAGGAUGAGCCCGCGGCCUAUCAGCUUGUUGGUGAGGUAGUGGCUCACCAAGGCGACGACGGGUAGCCGGCCUGAGAGGGCGACCGGCCACACUGGGACUGAGACACGGCCCAGACUCCUACGGGAGGCAGCAGUGGGGAAUAUUGCACAAUGGGCGAAAGCCUGAUGCAGCGACGCCGCGUGAGGGAUGACGGCCUUCGGGUUGUAAACCUCUUUCAGCAGGGAAGAAGCGAAAGUGACGGUACCUGCAGAAGAAGCGCCGGCUAACUACGUGCCAGCAGCCGCGGUAAUACGUAGGGCGCAAGCGUUGUCCGGAAUUAUUGGGCGUAAAGAGCUCGUAGGCGGCUUGUCACGUCGGUUGUGAAAGCCCGGGGCUUAACCCCGGGUCUGCAGUCGAUACGGGCAGGCUAGAGUGUGGUAGGGGAGAUCGGAAUUCCUGGUGUAGCGGUGAAAUGCGCAGAUAUCAGGAGGAACACCGGUGGCGAAGGCGGAUCUCUGGGCCAUUACUGACGCUGAGGAGCGAAAGCGUGGGGAGCGAACAGGAUUAGAUACCCUGGUAGUCCACGCCGUAAACGGUGGGAACUAGGUGUUGGCGACAUUCCACGUCGUCGGUGCCGCAGCUAACGCAUUAAGUUCCCCGCCUGGGGAGUACGGCCGCAAGGCUAAAACUCAAAGGAAUUGACGGGGGCCCGCACAAGCAGCGGAGCAUGUGGCUUAAUUCGACGCAACGCGAAGAACCUUACCAAGGCUUGACAUCGCCCGGAAAGCAUCAGAGAUGGUGCCCCCCUUGUGGUCGGGUGACAGGUGGUGCAUGGCUGUCGUCAGCUCGUGUCGUGAGAUGUUGGGUUAAGUCCCGCAACGAGCGCAACCCUUGUUCUGUGUUGCCAGCAUGCCCUUCGGGGUGAUGGGGACUCACAGGAGACUGCCGGGGUCAACUCGGAGGAAGGUGGGGACGACGUCAAGUCAUCAUGCCCCUUAUGUCUUGGGCUGCACACGUGCUACAAUGGCAGGUACAAUGAGCUGCGAUGCCGCGAGGCGGAGCGAAUCUCAAAAAGCCUGUCUCAGUUCGGAUUGGGGUCUGCAACUCGACCCCAUGAAGUCGGAGUUGCUAGUAAUCGCAGAUCAGCAUUGCUGCGGUGAAUACGUUCCCGGGCCUUGUACACACCGCCCGUCACGUCACGAAAGUCGGUAACACCCGAAGCCGGUGGCCCAACCCCCUUGUGGGGAGGGAGCUGUCGAAGGUGGGACUGGCGAUUGGGACGAAGUCGUAACA
This 1438-nucleotide ribosomal RNA is filed under the name Streptomyces phaeochromogenes. Its description in RNAcentral is "16S ribosomal RNA". It matches the Rfam family "Bacterial small subunit ribosomal RNA". Lineage: Bacteria; Bacillati; Actinomycetota; Actinomycetes; Kitasatosporales; Streptomycetaceae. The record is from RNAcentral.